Molecule: long non-coding RNA, 2897 nt
Organism: Aethalodelphis obliquidens (Pacific white-sided dolphin)
Lineage: Eukaryota; Metazoa; Chordata; Mammalia; Artiodactyla; Delphinidae
Exons: 3
Source: RefSeq, a predicted model, not a curated record
GGACGGAGGUGUUGUUUCAUACCACUCUCUCUCAAGAGGUUUCUUUAUGAAAACACAGAAGGGCUCAGGGAAACAGGUUUGAAUUAAACUUACACAUGGUCCCUCACAGCCUGAGGACAGGCUCAGAGUGUCCUGUCUCACACCAUCUUCCAGCGUGACGAGCAGAGGCUGGGUAGGAAUGUCUCGUGGUUCCUGCUUUCCAUCCUCACGAAAAGGAGAACUUUAGACACAAAAGGGGAGAACAACGUUUGCCAGGCGAGAAGGCAGAGCAUUUCAGGAGGAGCUGCCUGAGACUCCUUCACAGACAUGCUACAGGGAGCCAACACCAAGCAUUGGAACAAGUGCAGGAUAUAACCUACUUUCCGUCCUCCACCAGACAGUUGGGUAAGGCCUUUCUACCCUGACAUUAUGUGAUUCUAAAUCACUUUCUGUAGGCUUGCUCAGACUUCCUAUUAAACUUGUCAUAAGGGAGAAACUGAUGAUUCCGUGAAGUCAAGAAACAGCCCAUGGAGGCUCUACACAAAUGCGAGUGUUGUGAAUACUAGCAUUUCUGUGAGUCCUCCCGACAAAGCUAUCACACAGUCAGGGCUUUCAAGCUGCUGAGGGAACUCCCUGCUGAGCUUGGUCCAAGAUGGUCCCUGGGGAUGGAUUAGGGCAGACAGGGAGAAGGAAUUUUGAAAGGUUUUUUUUCUGGAAUAUAAACUUCUAUUUCUAUGCCAGGAUUAAUUCCAUUCCAUACAAGAAUGGCUAGGGCAGUGUUGCUAGGAAAUUAGCAGCUGUUUGUCUGGAUGAUUUUGGACAGGAAUGUGUCACUUGUGCAAUGCAAACAGGGAAGGGCUUUGAAGUGUGAGAAACUGGUCUCUGUCCAGUGCUGUUUAAGGAAACACAGCGCAGGACAUUUUAGACAGAGCCAAGGUGGAGAAUCUUUCCCAAUGUGAUCUAAUUCCCUGGGGCAAUGAGCACUGCCCCAGAGUCUCCUUCCAUGUGCCCAUCUGGUCGGUACUCAUCCUCACAACUGCUGCCUAGCUUUCGAUCCUGAGCCUGUCUGCUGGGUACCUGGGGCCAGAGUGACCACUGAGCUGGAAGAUGACGCCUCUUUAGAAAUGAGCCCUGGAAGGCUAACUCACCCCCAAAGAAUCCAGCCUUUGGAACUGUAAAGUGGAGCCCUCAAGAAUACCCCGACCCUCUGAUGAUUCCACUAUCUAGAGUUUAAAGACAGGCAAAGCUAAUCUAUUUUAUUAGAGAUCAGAAUAGUACUGACCUUUAGGGAAGAGGGAAGGAGGAGUGAUUGAGAAGUAUCUUAAGGAAGCCUUCUGAGGUUCUGGUUAUAUUGUAUAUGUUGGGCACGCUUAUAUUUUCACCUUGCAAUAACUCACUGAAUUGUACACUCAUGACUUUUCUAUGUGUAUGCUACACUUCAAUAACUUUUAAGUAUCUAAAAAAAAAAAAAAAAGAGAGAGAGAGAGAGAAUACCCUGACCCAUCUUUAGCCUCACCUCACUCCUGCCACUCUGCAUUCUCCUCCCCUGGUUUAUUUUUGUCUAUAACGUUCACCUCUAGUUAACAUCCAUUUCGUUUUCAUGAUUUAUUAUUUAGAGUCUUUCUCUCCUUUCUAGCAUGGAAGCUGCAUGAGGGCAUGGAUUUUUAUCUGUUUUGUUCACAGCUAUCUCUUCAGUACGUAGAACAGUCUCUGGAACAUAAGAGGCACCCAGUAAAUAUUUGUUAAAUGACCAAAUGCACUCAUCUAUUCCAUAUUUUAUUCAACCAGAAAACUGGAUUUGUUUCAUCUAAGAAAAUAGAAUACCUUCUGAAUGCCUGGAAUUAUUCCCUGGUUUGGGGUUGGGGUCUGGGAAAAGUUUGAGGAGAAAAACAAAACAAUGCAAGUGCUCUCUUCAUUGUUUAUGUAUGUCUCAAAUCACCCUUUUGAGGUAAGUAGCCUUAUCUUGGUUUUUCAGAGGAAGAAAUGGAGGUUCAUAGAAAGUAAUUUUCCCAAACCACAUAGCCACAAAGUGGUAAAGGCUGGACCUUUUAAAAAAUAUACAAAUGCCACCUACAGCAGCUGUCACUGGCCCUCCUUUCUUCUCUUAUUGUCUCCCCAGUUAGCUGCUUUCCAGAGUGGCAAAGAUGUUCUAACACUCAGGUUUUGACACAACUCCCUCAGAGAACAGAAUUUUGUGUAAACAACUGCAAACUUCUUUUUUUAAAAAUCUGCCUUGGUUUGAGAUUUCUACGACUGUAAGCUCUAAAAAGCAGAGUGAUGCAUCAUGACACUCACAGGAUGACAGAAUGUGCCUGGAGAGGGGACAUUUAAGUUUAGAACCGAAUUUCCCAAGCAACGACAAAGGUUCUGGAACCUCCCAGAAUAUUCUCGGUAGGAGUCCCACUGGAUUUGCCAUCUCAUUUUUAGGGAAUUCUUGGUUUGCACCAUAAGUGAAAAUCGAGUCCAUUUCCCGGCAAGUUUAGGCUUAGAGAUUCUUAGUGAUAUACUCCCCUUUCCAGGCCCCCAGGAAUUUAGCCUUCUAAUCCCCAGACUGCAGACUGGGAACACUUAGAAAUUCUUAUGAUUGAGAAACUGAGGACUCUACAUAAACCCCUCAGCAGUCAGGAAACAUCCUGUGGGUGGGUUAGAUCAUGAGAUCUCCCUGAAGGAAAUUUAACUCCUAGUUCCAAGAAAAUGCCUGUUUAUUUUUUCAUAUUACGGGGUCACUGGAUGUCCGGGGUGUCAACUGAAAAAUAAUGUCCGACCUAAAAGUUGACAAUUAUGUUCUAUCUGGGGCAUUACUGAGAACUAUAGCCCAGGAUGGCAGCCUCUCAGAUAGCCCUGAGGGACUGUUCCAAAGAGGUAAGGGAGGAGCCAGGAUAUACAGGAGUUUUUGCUAGAAACAAAAACAAAAACAA